This 336-nucleotide unclassified non-coding RNA is filed under the name soil metagenome. Its description in RNAcentral is "partial contains 5.8S ribosomal RNA, internal transcribed spacer 2, and large subunit ribosomal RNA". The stretch from base 1 to 120 matches the Rfam family "5.8S ribosomal RNA", at positions 35 to 154 of the family's 154-position model. The record is from RNAcentral.
GAUGAAGAACGUAGCGAAAUGCGAUAAGUAAUGUGAAUUGCAGAAUUCAGUGAAUCAUCGAAUCUUUGAACGCACAUUGCGCCCGCCAGUAUUCUGGCGGGCAUGCCUGUUCGAGCGUCAUUUCAACCAUCAAGCCCCAGGCUUGUGUUGGGGACCUGCGGCUGCCGCAGGCCCUGAAAACCAGUGGCGGGCUCGCUGUCACACCGGGCGUAGUAGAUUUUAUCUCACUCAGGGCGUGCUGCGGGUUCCGGCCGUUAAAAAGCCUUUUUUACCCAAGGUUGACCUCGGAUCAGGUAGGAAGACCCGCUGAACUUAAGCAUAUCAAUAAGCGGAGGA